This 1249-nucleotide long non-coding RNA is filed under the name Vulpes vulpes (red fox). RNAcentral's name for it is "lncRNA (ENSVVUG00000010461.1)". The record is from RNAcentral. Lineage: Eukaryota; Metazoa; Chordata; Mammalia; Carnivora; Canidae.
AGCCUUUAGCCCCUGUAAGAUAUGCCGUUCUGCUUCCAACGUGUAUUUUUCAGGACAGCAUCUUGGAAGAGGCACAUGAGAACAAGCAUCCCACCUUCCAACAGGAGGCUUUGAAGGGAAGCAGGUGGAACUGCAGACCUCCCAUCUUGUUACCUGCGUACUGCCAGCCUCCUUGCCAGCUCCCUCCACCUCUUCUCAUCGUGGUCUGGUUGUGGUUCCCUGUUGCACCUGCUAGCAUCACCUGCUAUCACCACAAUUGUGAAAUUGAGCCUGGAGGUUCUAGCCAUGUGGGCAUCACUGCCCUCUCACUGCUCUCCAGCCCCAGAUGGUCCUCUCGGCCCACCUUCCACCAUACCUCUCACUCAGCUGGGAAAGCACCUCUCCUCAUUGGGAUCAUGAUUUCUUCUGUGUUCCCAGGAAAGGGUGACAUACAGCUCCCAACAGAGCUUCUCCACAGAGCUCCCAAAUGAUACAACUCCUGCUAGGAAGGCUGGUUCUGCUUACAACUCACCCCCAGAGAACAGGGAACAGUUUUCUUGGGACUUUCAAGUCGUGUUUGUCAGUAUUGAGUCAAAUUUCUCUUUUUUGCCAUAGUCCUCCAGGAUCCCAAGGUGCUUCCCUAAGCCUAAAGCAAGCCCUUUUGUCCUGGUGUCCUGGGCGCUGAUUCCCAGACUUUAGAGACCUUCAUCAUUUCUCGCAGGGGGCCUGGGACUGAUGAAUUUAGAAGAGGACAGGAAUAGGGAGGGCACUAAUGAAAUCUGUGUGAUUCUGUAGACCAUUCAGGCAUUCAAGGGAUGAGGUAAUGAAGGGGACCAUGCAAGAGAGGCUCAGCCCUGCCAAGAAUAAGUCAAGAAGGCCCAAGCUGUGAAAAAAAUAUCUGAAAGACUCUAGGCUUCACCAAGGACAUAGAGGGGUAGCCCCACUCCCUGGGGAAGGAGAGAGUGGAGCUGGUGACGCCCAGAAGCCAUGUGCUGGGUUCCUCCUGGGUGUCUGUCUUUUUCAUUCAAAAGGGUGGUGAGAAUGAGGCCUGAGUGAGGGCUGAAGAGCCAGAUGGACUUUGCACUGUCAUUUCCCAACCCUGUGACCUUUUGGCAACUGACUUAACCUCUCUGUUUCCUCGACUAUGAAAGUAGGGAUGGUAACCUGCUAUGGUUAGUAUAAGGAUUGAAGGAGAUAAAGUUAGUGAAAAGACCCUGACCCUAAGUAGAUGGUUAAUAAAUGAUAGCCUCUGUGUGUGUGUGUGUGUGUG